AUUGAACGCUGGCGGCAGGCCUAACACAUGCAAGUCGAACGAGUGGCGGACGGGUGAGUAAUGUCUGGGAAACUGCAUGAUGGAGGGGGAUAACUACUGGAAACGGUAGCUAAUACCGCAUACCAUCGGAUGUGCCCAGAUGGGAUUAGCUCGUAGGUGGGGUAAAGGCUCACCUAGGCGACGAUCCCUAGCUGGUCUGAGAGGAUGACCGACCAGACGGGCACUGAAAAACGGUACCGACUCCUCCUGGAGGACGCCGUGGGGAAUAUGGCACAAUUGGCGCAAUCCUGAUGCAGUCAGGCCGCGUGUAUGGAGAAGGCCUGCGGGUCGUAAAUUACUUUCAGCGGGGAAGCGUUACCCGCAGAAGAAGCACCGGCUAACUCCGUGCCAGCAGCCGCGGUAAUUC
Molecule: ribosomal RNA, 406 nt
Filed under: uncultured bacterium
Lineage: Bacteria
Description: partial 16S ribosomal RNA
Rfam family: Bacterial small subunit ribosomal RNA
Source: RNAcentral